Molecule: ribosomal RNA, 466 nt
Filed under: uncultured bacterium
Lineage: Bacteria
Description: partial 16S ribosomal RNA
Rfam family: Bacterial small subunit ribosomal RNA
Source: RNAcentral
GACGAACGCUGGCGGCGUGCUUAACACAUGCAAGUCGAACGGAAAGGCCCUGCUUUUGUGGGGUGCUCGAGUGGCGAACGGGUGAGUAACACGUGAGUAACCUGCCCUUGACUUUGGGAUAACUUCAGGAAACUGGGGCUAAUACCGGAUAGGAGCUCCUACUGCAUGGUGGGGGUUGGAAAGUUUCGGCGGUUGGGGAUGGACUCGCGGCUUAUCAGCUUGUUGGUGGGGUAGUGGCUUACCAAGGCUUUGACGGGUAGCCGGCCUGAGAGGGUGACCGGCCACAUUGGGACUGAGAUACGGCCCAGACUCCUACGGGAGGCAGCAGUGGGGAAUAUUGCACAAUGGGCGGAAGCCUGAUGCAGCAACGCCGCGUGCGGGAUGACGGCCUUCGGGUUGUAAACCGCUUUCGCCUGUGACGAAGCGUGAGUGACGGUAAUGGGUAAAGAAGCACCGGCUAACUACG